AUGAGCCCCUGCCUCCUGGGCUGUGUGGUCUUCUGUCUCCUGCAGGCAGGGGCGGUCCAUGCUGGUGUCACUCAGGACCCCAGAUUCCAGGUGGUGAGGAGAGGACAGAGGGUGACACUGAGAUGCACUCAGGAUCUGAACUAUGAUUAUAUGUACUGGUACCGACAAGACCCAGGACACGGGCUGAGGCUGAUCCAUUACUCAGAUGGCCCUCCCACCACGGAAAAGGGAGACGUGCCUGACGGGUACAAUGUCUCCAGACCAAGCACAGAGAACUUCCCUCUCAUGCUGGAGUCUGCCAGCCGCUCCCAGACAUCUGUGUACUUCUGCGCCAGCAGUUACUCCACAGCGCUGCAGGGUCACCUCCUCUCUGUGCAAAAAGGCAAGGCAGCCCCUCGCUUGUGGGCUCCCAGCACCAGGAGCCUCAGGGCUCUGCUGCCACGUGCCUGCAGUGUGACCCUGAGUGUGUGGUCUGUGCUGGCCCAGACCUCACUCCAGGCCUUGCAGACAUGUGUCCACCAUCCAUUGCUGUCUUUUCUCUGUAUCGUCCCUGUGAACCAGGAGUUUCCCCAGCUCUGA
Non-coding RNA from Budorcas taxicolor (takin), 579 nucleotides. The record is from the annotation of a RefSeq genome assembly. Lineage: Eukaryota; Metazoa; Chordata; Mammalia; Artiodactyla; Bovidae.